UACGGAGGGUGCAAGCGUUAUCCGGAUUUAUUGGAUUUAAAGGGUACGUAGGCGGUGGAGUAAGUCAGUGGUGAAAGCCAACAGCUCAACUGUUGAACUGCCAUUGAUACUGCUUCACUUGAGUGCAGUUGAGGUGGGUGGAAUUCCAUGUGUAACGGUGAAAUGCUUAGAUAUAUGGAGGAACACCGAUAACGAAGGUAACUCACUAAACUGUAACUGACGCUGAGGUACGAAAAGCGUGGGGAGCAAACGGG
This 254-nucleotide ribosomal RNA is filed under the name uncultured bacterium. Its description in RNAcentral is "partial 16S ribosomal RNA". It matches the Rfam family "Bacterial small subunit ribosomal RNA", at positions 524 to 776 of the family's 1533-position model. The record is from RNAcentral.